AUCCUGUACCUCGUCUGUAAUGUUAGGUCUAUGACAAACAGGUUGCCAAUGACAACCUCGUUUAUGAUGACACGAACUUUUAUCGACUGUCAAAUCCAUUGGGUCUAUUUUAUAAUUUAUCCGAUAUAGCAUUUGAAGAGUUACACUUAUUAAAAGUCGGGAAAUAAUAAUGUCUCAAUGGCAUUGGAAUCACGACAGUGCUUCGGAUAGAUCGAGUGCAAAGAAGAGACCGUCCACGGGUAUAGCUACACCGCAAAAUAAAUUCGAAAGAUCUAGCAGAACAAUAAAAAAUGAAUUGGGUGGAUCGUACGUCGCUUCUGGAAAUAAUCGUCCUGCAACACCUGGUCAAAAUGUUCUGGCAAGGCCACCAUCAACAUCAGUUUUGUUUAACCCAAUACAAACUGACAGUUCACGAUUAACCACAUCAUCGAGGAAUUCUCCUCAUUUAAACACAGGUCACAUGAAUAUAAACAUUAUGGAAAGACCAAUUACUCAGCAUGGAGUAGCAGGUGUUAGACCCGGGACAUGCAAAGGAUUGUCGAUGACAAGACAAAUUCAAGAUAAGAGAUAUUACAUUGGUAUUAUGCAACUAAAGAUAAGGGAAUUAAAUCAAGAAAUUUCCAUUAUUACAAAAGAUAUUGAAUAUCAAAAUAAAGAAAAAGCCACCUACCUACAUUAUGAUAAGAGAGCUAAAGAUUUAGCAACAGAAUUGACAGCUUUGCAAGGGCAGUUAGCAGACUAUAAUAUCGUUGUAGAUAAAAUGACAUCCGACGUUGGAAAGGAAGUCAUUGAUCAGGAAACUGAAGAAUUGGCAACAAAGAACGAACAAAGUUUAUUACAGAUUGAAAAUAUGUUUGAAAAAAGGAAGGAAUUGGAACAACAAUUAAGUAGGAUAGAAAAACAACUAGAGAACGAAAAGAAGAGAACAGAAAGGCUAAUUGAAAGCAUGGACUCGAAUACAAGAGAGAAAUAUGAUAAGCUGUUGAAAGAAAAAGCAAGUUUAGAAGAAAAAGCAAAUAAAAUGCAGCAAGAAUUGGACGAGUUAUACAAAGAGCAAAUGUCUUUGGAGGAAGAAAUAGCACUGUCUCCUUUAAAACAGGAAGCAGUUAAGUUACAUCUUAAAAUUCUAGAAAUGGAAGAGAAAAGAGGAAAGCUACAGCAGGAAGAGAGGCACAGAAUUUCGCCGGAAGAAGAAAAAGAAAAAUUAUUACACAAAAUUAAGCAACACAAUAUAGACAUCGCAGCUGCAGAAGCAUUAUUAACUGAGAAGAAGAAGCGUAUUCAAGAAACAGAACAGGAACUUGAACAGUUGGAAACUGAUAUAGAGGACAACCAAUCUGAAAAACAAAUUAAAUAUAAAGAACUUCGUAAGCGAGAAGAAAUCAUGGAACAAUUUAUGUGUUCUUUCGAGCAAAAUAAACAGGUUGAAACAAAAAAAUUGUACGAACUAGAGACAACGGUAAUCGAAUAUUUGAAGGAUAUUUCAAAUAUUCUGGAUGUCGAUGUAGAUUUUGUAGGCGGCGAUGAAAUGGCUAUAUUGAAUAGUGUAUCUUCUCACAAUGAAUAUAAUAAGGAUCAGAGUUUGGAAGGAUUAAGGAAAGAAAAUUUAAAGUCGCAGCAAAUUUUAAGUAAAAUGAAGAUGUUAGAGCAGAAACUUAAAGUAGAAUUUACUGACCUUAACGAAAAAAUAAAUAAUAAAGAAAACAAAUUAAUGGUUUUAGAAGACGUAGACAGUCUAAAAACUAAAUUGACAAUACAAGAAAAACAGCUAACAGCAAAGUGUGAUCAACUAAAAGAACAGCAAUCAAAAUAUGAACAAGAACUCGAAGAAAUUCUACUCGAAUAUAAUGAAAUAAAACAACAUUUACAACGUAAUGAAAUAUAUGCUGAAAUUAAUACAUUAGAGAGUACAGUAGAAAAGUUAACAGAAGAACAUGAAAAAAUUAGAAAUUUUAUUGUUAAGCUAAAGGAACGUGGCAACUAUGGCCCAGUGAAAGAAAACACUUUUAGUUCAGUAACUAAUUAUAAUAUUAUAUUAAAAGAAAGUUUGAAAAUAAUUUAUUAAAUAAAAUCGUUUUUUUGUAGUUCUUAAUAAAUACUAUUAUACUAGGUGUGAUUCUCAAUCACGCGAUAGAAUUGUAGUUGUGAUCGACUCAGCCAAUAAUGGCAACGCGUGUAAGGCAUGCGUCGCUAUUACGCUACAGCCAAUCAGCGUGCCUUGCCGCCAAGUCAUCUCUCUCUGGUACUUGCGUGUCUAACGGAAUAAAUACCAUAGCGUCGACAAUGUACACGAUGAACUAGACAAUUCAAUGGAAGUUUGCCUUUGAUAAAUUGCAAUACCAGCCUUAGACGAGCGAUGGUCGUAGUUCCGAGAAGGGCGGUAAUUCCGGGAAAACACUUCAACAGAAAAUGAACUUGUCGAAACUUGUCGAAGCCGGGCACGCUACGUUAUAAGACGAAAGCAAAUUUUACGAGGAACCGAAGCAACGCUCGUAAGUAAUGUAAACAAUAAACAAAUAGAUCAAAGUAUUCGAAACAUUUACAGGAAACCUAGUACAUAAAUGCUAGCACGAGUGUACCUCGUUUGUAUUUCCUUUAAUGCCGAUAGCCAAUAAAAUGAAACGCGGACUAUUCCAGAAAAUGAUACUUACAUUUUCAAGAAAAAAAAAAACAUUAAAUCUAAAAAAAUUUCUACAAUAGCGCAUUUCAUGGAAAGGAUAGUAAUACAACGCAAAUUGCGGUUUUGCUGUUUAUAAUUUUAUUUUUACAAUUUUGGUGCAUUCGGGGAAAAAUAUUUUUUCUUUUUUUUUCAAGUAGAUAUUUAACGUCGCAUCGACAUCCAACUCAUUAGCGACAGGUUUCUGUAUUAGGUUUAAAAUUUUGUAUCAUUUUUAGAACGUCGAAUUAUUUGGUGUUGAGAAAUACAUGAUUGUUAAUAUUCAUGAAUUUUGAAUAUGCAACGUAUAAGUACAUUUAUGAACGAAACCACCGGAUAUAAUUCAGAUCAUAGUGAGCAAAUAAAUAUAUUCGAUAUAAAAAGUAUGCACACACACACGCACGC
This is an RNA transcript of Colletes gigas, 3061 nucleotides long. It is a transcript of the gene named intraflagellar transport protein 74 homolog, with no coding region annotated. The record is from RefSeq and is a predicted model, not a curated record. The transcript is spliced from 3 exons. Lineage: Eukaryota; Metazoa; Arthropoda; Insecta; Hymenoptera; Colletidae.